RNAcentral lists this ribosomal RNA (1186 nucleotides) under uncultured fungus. Its description in RNAcentral is "eukaryotic LSU rRNA". The stretch from base 535 to 1186 matches the Rfam family "Eukaryotic large subunit ribosomal RNA", at positions 1 to 667 of the family's 3401-position model. The record is from RNAcentral. Lineage: Eukaryota; Fungi.
CUUGGUCAUUUAGAGGAAGUAAAAGUCGUAACAAGGUCUCCGUAGGUGAACCUGCGGAGGGAUCAUUACAGAGUUCGUGCCCUCACGGGUAGAUCUCCCACCCUGUGUUAUUAUACCUUUGUUGCUUUGGCGGGCCGCCCUCGGCUACCGGCCCCGGCUGGUACGCGCCCGCCAGAGGACCCCAAACUCUGAAUGUUAGUGUCGUCUGAGUACUAUACAAUAGUUAAAACUUUCAACAACGGAUCUCUUGGUUCUGGCAUCGAUGAAGAACGCAGCGAAAUGCGAUAAGUAAUGUGAAUUGCAGAAUUCAGUGAAUCAUCGAAUCUUUGAACGCACAUUGCGCCCCUUGGUAUUCCGAGGGGCAUGCCUGUUCGAGCGUCAUUUCAACCCUCAAGCACAGCUUGGUCUUGGGCUUCGCCGCUAACCCGGCGGGUCUUAAAAUCAGUGGCGGUGCCGUCGGGCCCUGAGCGCAGUAAUCUCUCUCGCUAUAGGGUCCCGGCGGAUGCUGGCCAGUAACCCCCAAUUUUCUAUGGUUGACCUCGGAUCAGGUAGGGAUACCCGCUGAACUUAAGCAUAUCAAUAAGCGGAGGAAAAGAAACCAACAGGGAUUGCCUCAGUAACGGCGAGUGAAGCGGCAACAGCUCAAAUUUGAAAUCUGGCUCCUCCGGGGUCCGAGUUGUAAUUUGUAGAAGAUGCUUCGGGUGUGGCUCCGGUCUAAGUUCCUUGGAACAGGACGUCAUAGAGGGUGAGAAUCCCGUAUGUGACUGGCAGCCUUCGCCCAUGUGAAGCUCUUUCGACGAGUCGAGUUGUUUGGGAAUGCAGCUCAAAAUGGGUGGUAAAUUUCAUCUAAAGCUAAAUAUUGGCCAGAGACCGAUAGCGCACAAGUAGAGUGAUCGAAAGAUGAAAAGCACUUUGGAAAGAGAGUUAAACAGUACGUGAAAUUGUUGAAAGGGAAGCGCUUGCAACCAGACUUGCGCGCGGCCGAUCAUCCGGGGUUCUCCCCGGUGCACUCGACCGCGCUCAGGCCAGCAUCGGUUUGGGCGGCUGGAUAAAGGCCCUGGGAAUGUGGCUCCCUUCGGGGAGUGUUAUAGCCCUGGGUGCAAUGCAGCCUGCCUGGACCGAGGACCGCGCUUCGGCUAGGAUGCUGGCGUAAUGGUUGUAAGCGACCCGUCUUGAAACACGGACC